UGAAAUAUAUGAGAAGAGAUUUAGUGAUGU
RNAcentral lists this non-coding RNA (30 nucleotides) under Mus musculus (house mouse). Lineage: Eukaryota; Metazoa; Chordata; Mammalia; Rodentia; Muridae. The record is from RNAcentral.